GGGGGUAUAGCUCAGUAGUAAAGUGCACGCUUAACAUGCAUAAGGUCCUGGGUUUAAUCCCCAGUACCUUCA
This 72-nucleotide transfer RNA is filed under the name Camelus bactrianus (Bactrian camel). It matches the Rfam family "tRNA". Rfam says of the family: Transfer RNA (tRNA) molecules are approximately 80 nucleotides in length. Their secondary structure includes four short double-helical elements and three loops (D, anti-codon, and T loops). Further hydrogen bonds mediate the characteristic L-shaped molecular structure. tRNAs have two regions of fundamental functional importance: the anti-codon, which is responsible for specific mRNA codon recognition, and the 3' end, to which the tRNAs corresponding amino acid is attached (by aminoacyl-tRNA synthetases). tRNAs cope with the degeneracy of the genetic code in two manners: having more than one tRNA (with a specific anti-codon) for a particular amino acid; and 'wobble' base-pairing, i.e. permitting non-standard base-pairing at the 3rd anti-codon position. The record is from Rfam by way of RNAcentral. RNAcentral also lists the same sequence under 2 other names. Lineage: Eukaryota; Metazoa; Chordata; Mammalia; Artiodactyla; Camelidae.